GGGGUUGUGGCUCAAUGGUAGAGCACUUGCCUAGCAUGUGUGAGGCACUGGGUUCCAUUCUCAGCACCA
This 69-nucleotide transfer RNA is filed under the name Sciurus carolinensis (gray squirrel). It matches the Rfam family "tRNA". Rfam says of the family: Transfer RNA (tRNA) molecules are approximately 80 nucleotides in length. Their secondary structure includes four short double-helical elements and three loops (D, anti-codon, and T loops). The record is from Rfam by way of RNAcentral. RNAcentral also lists the same sequence under 1 other name. Lineage: Eukaryota; Metazoa; Chordata; Mammalia; Rodentia; Sciuridae.